UGCCCGAUGGUGUAACGGUAGCACAACAGAUUCUGAAUCUGUUUGUCGUGGUUCGAAUCCACGUCGGGCAGCCA
This 74-nucleotide transfer RNA is filed under the name Pedosphaera sp. RNAcentral describes it as "tRNA-Gln". It matches the Rfam family "tRNA". Rfam says of the family: Transfer RNA (tRNA) molecules are approximately 80 nucleotides in length. Their secondary structure includes four short double-helical elements and three loops (D, anti-codon, and T loops). Lineage: Bacteria; Pseudomonadati; Verrucomicrobiota; Pedosphaerae; Pedosphaerales; Pedosphaeraceae. The record is from RNAcentral.